This 1084-nucleotide long non-coding RNA is filed under the name Brassica rapa (field mustard). RNAcentral describes it as "long non-coding RNA (BRAP_LNC002458)". The record is from RNAcentral. Lineage: Eukaryota; Viridiplantae; Streptophyta; Magnoliopsida; Brassicales; Brassicaceae.
GGAUCAGUUGAUUAAUCAUUUUCUUGUCAUGGUGGGAGUGAGAAACUCUUAAGAAAAACUCAUUUGUACUUCUCUUUUUGUCAAUACAAUCGUUGGAAUUCUCUUAAUUUGAUCUUUUUUACAAGUUUGAUACUGUAAAGUGUAUCAAAAUGAUGGCUACCACAUUCGAAACUUUUAUCUUCAGGUUCUAGAAGAUGAGGUGACUACGUUAAAAAAUGACAUCGAUAAUAUGGUAAAAAUAGCAAUCGAGCUGCAAUUCAAAAUUGAACAAGUGUGAGAGAUUGCAAUAUUGAAGAAAUUAGUGAAGGGUUCUCUUUAAAACCUAUGUAUGUUCGCUUGAAAUUUUAUCUUACUCUUGUAUGUGUAUAGCUUUGUGUGAACUUAUCUAUGUUAUUUUCGUUAAUAAACUCUUAUGAACUUUUAUAUGUUAAGAUUUGCAGAGUUUUACCUAGUAAUAUCAGUAGUACAAAUUCAAAUAAGAAACAACAUCAAAAUAAUACUUAGUUAUAUUAGUAAAACAACAUAGUUUUGCUUAGUAAUACUACUAGUAUGAAUACAAAUAAGAAAUAACAAACAACUUAACUUACCUAGAGUACUAGUACAAAUCUGGAAUAGAUCAAAAACUUCGAUUUAAGAAGAAGAAAAAAAAUAAAAAAUUAUCGGUGAAAGAAAAAGAAACUUAUAGAAACAAUCUGGAGUAGAUCGGAAACUAAGAAAGAGAGGUGGAGCUAUACUCAAAUCCUGACUAACUGGACGAUUAUUAAAAUCAGUCCCAAUAAAAAACACAUAAGAACAUUGUUGGGGUCGAAAACGGUUACGACAAAGUUAACGUCUAAAUUUCCGCAAUAUACAAGUAUGUGUCUCCGCAACAUAUUUUUUUCGAGAUGAAGUUUCAUUCGAAUUCCAUUUAGAUCAAACAUAAGCCAUCGGAAACAUACCCAAACCAAUUACGGAUGGGUUCGAAUAUGACAAUCGGAACACGGACAAACCAGCUCGGUCAUUGCGCAACUACCGCAUAUGCACGCUAUCCGGUCGCUACGUAGCGACCUAGUUCUUCUAAAACGUCGAUUCGACACCAGUCCAU